Molecule: ribosomal RNA, 424 nt
Filed under: uncultured prokaryote
Also listed under: 1 other name
Description: bacterial SSU rRNA
Rfam family: Bacterial small subunit ribosomal RNA
Source: RNAcentral
UGAGGAAUAUUGGUCAAUGGACGCAAGUCUGAACCAGCCACGUCGCGUGAAGGAAGACGGCCCUACGGGUUGUAAACUUCUUUUGUAAGGGAAUAAAGUGAGCCACGUGUGGCUUUUUGCAUGUACCUUACGAAUAAGGAUCGGCUAACUCCGUGCCAGCAGCCGCGGUAAUACGGAGGAUCCGAGCGUUAUCCGGAUUUAUUGGGUUUAAAGGGUGCGCAGGCGGGGGAUUAGGUCGGCGGUGAAAUAUCAGGGCUCAACCUUGAGAGUGCCGUCGAAACCGGUUUUCUUGAGUGCGGAUGAAGUAGGCGGAAUUUGUGGUGUAGCGGUGAAAUGCAUAGAUAUCACGAGGAACUCCGAUUGCGAAGGCAGCUUACUAAGCUACUACUGACGCUCAGGCACGAAGGCGUGGGGAUCAAACAGG